RNAcentral lists this long non-coding RNA (673 nucleotides) under Coturnix japonica (Japanese quail). RNAcentral's name for it is "lncRNA (ENSCJPG00005007807.1)". The record is from RNAcentral. Lineage: Eukaryota; Metazoa; Chordata; Aves; Galliformes; Phasianidae.
CUUUGCUAGCUGCCCACUUCUGCCUUCUGCAGCUCUCUGAACUGUCUUUGGUCUACAUACCUGUUAUCUUUCUUUCAAGGUCUUUGGUACUUCAGCCGGCCCAAAGAGAAAGGGGAAAAAAUAAUGAAAACAUUGAAAGAGAGGUGUAGUGGAGAGAAAUGAAAGGAGAUGAGUAGGCGUGGGAAAAAGAGACAGAACAAGCAGAGUUGAAGAGUCAGAACAGACUACAUGUUUACUUUCUUUAAAAAGUUGAGAAUGAAGGUUUGAACAUCUGAGAACUGAGCUAACCUGGAGCAGACUUCAAAUGCAGAAAAAUCAGAAAGCUGAAUGAACGUGGGCAACAACCUCUGCACGCAAGCUGAGGUGUCACAGAAAGACCUGGUGGCAGGAAGAGGGCAGCAGAGUACCAUCUGGCUGUCUAGGGACAUAAGGUUUGCUACUUGAGACUGCAGAGGAUCAUCAUUGCUCCAUGAAAUACAGUUUUGGGAGCUGACUGCAAAAGCCCAGCCUGGAGUAAGUCAACAUGUUGCCAUUGGUACAACAUUAAUUUGUGCCAACUGUCAAACAGACUCUCCUGUGCACAAGACUGUGCAUGUACCAGCUGUAAACCCAAACCUUUCCAUUGGAUUUCCUGUCACUUCUCAGAGAACAAAUGUUCCAACUUAGCUAUAGC